ACUUCAGCUAAACCCUCAACUCAGUGGAUUGGGACGGCACUGAGAAGCCCCUGAUGUGCCGCAUCUUAGGCAGAAUCCCGUGGAGACUGGUUCCAGCUGCCACAUAGGCCCUUAAGCAGAUUUUGGAUCCCAGGGUGGAGGCCACGCAGAGCCUGAAACUUCUCAGGAAGUCAUGCUGCCAAGCACCGACCAGAGAGCAGGAUGGGAAGGCAAGACGAUCCCAAAGCUGAACUCCUUCAGUGGAAGCAGGAACUCUGAGCCAAAGAACUAAGGAAAACACAAUCCAUCAAACGUGUACCCACCCCCCCCACACACAUGCAUCUGCAUGUGUAUACAUGUACACACACUAGUCCACCAAGAGGUGGAAAAGGAGAAAAUACCCCCUCUUCUGAGAUCUGAAUAAUGCAUGAAAUGACCAACUUGAAGUAAUUGAAGGAUAAGUUCUAAAAUCAUCCCAAGAAUAUACAAAGGCAUCUUCAACAUCAGAACAGCAUUUCUCAAUU
This 503-nucleotide long non-coding RNA is filed under the name Felis catus (domestic cat). Its description in RNAcentral is "lncRNA (ENSFCAG00000047039.1)". Lineage: Eukaryota; Metazoa; Chordata; Mammalia; Carnivora; Felidae. The record is from RNAcentral.